This 1279-nucleotide long non-coding RNA is filed under the name Equus caballus (horse). RNAcentral's name for it is "lncRNA (ENSECAG00000049301.1)". Lineage: Eukaryota; Metazoa; Chordata; Mammalia; Perissodactyla; Equidae. The record is from RNAcentral.
UUGCGGGGCCCUCGUUUUAGAGGGCCUCAAAUCAAUGACCUUCCCCCACCCCAAGAGAAUCUUCACGAUAGCGUGGGUUGGGGCUGGCGGGAGGGCGAGAUUCGCUAUUUCUGAGGCCGGGUGAGAAGGAGUUUGUCCUUUCCUGAGAAACUCAAAAUCUCUCCUCUCUUACAAUUUCCUUUCUCUAAACGUUGCUAAACAAAGGAAGGGCGCCCUGAGAACUUGAGGGUCGCCGAGUUCGCGUUGCCUUCCUUUGGCAGUCGAGAUCAGCGUCAAGUACAUCUUGCCGCUCCUGGACUCGCUGAGAAGGGGAGGAGGAGCCGGGGUAGAGAGGGCCGCGUCCGGCCUCCCGGGGCGCGCAUUCCCCGCGCGCUGCUCCCCUUAGGCGAGCGCUUUUCACUUCCAUUCUGUUCACAGUCCAUUCUUUCUUUGACCUCUUGAACCGAGUCACCCAAGUUGCUGCCAAAGCAGACACUCAGGAUCCUCAGUCUUGGCUACCACCCCUCGACUCUCGCUUAGGAAGGACGUCGUGGGGGCCGCGUGCAAGCCCAUGUCCUGUGUCCCCACGCCCGCGAAGCCCUGGUCAAUUGUCUCCACAAAGCUUUGUCCUCUUCCCACGUGCCCCAGCCGGGAGGAUCCGUAGGAUCAGCGCCGCUGCCGCCGCGCCCAGGCCCGGCAGUGGGGGCGGGGAAGGGCGAUGGCAGGGCCCCCCAGGCUCGGCGUAGAGCUGGCAGUGCCGAGAAGCCAGCACCAGGCCGCCGGUGCGCGCGGGGCACGAACCCAGGCCCCAGUCCGGCCGCUUUUUCCGGCGCUCCCGGCUCCAGUGCUCCGGUGGACCCAGGCCGAAUCCUGCCAAUGUUUUGCUUCAAGCCGUCAGGCUGGCGCUGCAGAACUUUUCUACUACCGAGGAGGGGUCGACAAUAUAAAAGUUCUUUAAAACAAUUGUUUAAAACACACACAAAGCCCCGAAGGAAGAAGUGGUUUAAAGCACUGGGAAGGCAGAAAUCGCAACACCUGGAUUUAACGGAUUUUGUUUUUAAACGCAAUGACCUAAAACGCUACCGUUUAAACUCCACUGAAUCCCGUAGCUCCGGAGUACUUUGAGUGUAAUGGAGCCAGAGAUCGUCUUGCAGUCCCGCCAAAGAAGAGUGCCUGGUACACGUUUUCCCUGCUGUGCUCCCAGUGCUUAAACGUCGAAGGACAGAGAAAGAAGGGGAGAUGGAAAGAAGGAGAGAGAAAGAAAAUGGAGAAAAACAAAGGAAUACAAAAGGAAAAGGGA